Nematostella vectensis (starlet sea anemone) is the source of this 86-nucleotide non-coding RNA. Lineage: Eukaryota; Metazoa; Cnidaria; Anthozoa; Actiniaria; Edwardsiidae. The record is from Rfam.
AACCCAGGGGUAUUUUCCUCUAAAGUUUCACCCGCGAGAAAAUUUAUUCUCGUGAGUGAAACGUUAGAGGAAAAUACCUCUGGGUU